AUUAGAUGUAAGGGGGUGGAAGUUAUCCAGUUCUUGAAAGGGCUCUAUACUUUUCACCGUCCAGGUGAAGACUGAGGGUUCAAACCAAGUUUACCGAGAUCGUUCAGAGGCAGACUUCCGAGUUAUUUCUCCAAUUCCUUUCUCUUUUUUGCCUAGUCCUUCUUUUCCAACUUACAGUACCUGACAUAUAGUAGGUACUCCAUAAAUAUCUGUUGUACUGAAUCAAAUAUAAAUAUGCUACAUCGUUUGUGCUGUCAGGGUACCUAAAAUUGAGUGAAGACAACACAAAUGCAUUUCACACAUNNNNNNNNNNNNNNNNNNNNNNNNNNNNNNNNNNNNAUAAAUAUCCACUAAUAGGCCUAACACGUCUUUGUUUUUCAGUAUCCUUCAAGAUUUUGCUCACAUUUCAUCCUCCAGAAGCCUACCUGGAUUUUCAGUUAUGUGUCCUGUCUCUGAAAUCUUAUGACAUUUCCUACCUAUAUCAGCAAAUGUGACACUUGAUCACUUAUUUUUCAAUGGAUAGCUUGCCUUUUUCAUUACAUACUACAGUUCCUGAGGGCAGAAAGUGAGGCCACACUUGCUGAGGGCUGAGUACAUACAGUACCUUAUAUACACAGCUAGCUCUUUAGUUGAUUGUUACUGAUAAUAUGUGUCCUACAUCAUGUUCUCAGAAACUUGAGAAUUUAGUAUGUGCUUGGCAAGUAUUAGUACUGAAUAACUAUUUGCUGAAUUGAGUUGAAUUGUUGGGUAGUAUAAACAUCUGAAAAUAUAAAAUUCUUAGAUAUCACAUUCUCAUACCAAAAAUCCCAGAAAAUUAGGAAGGAAUCAAAUAUAAUUCUUGUUAAGCUAUAAUUUGUCUUCCUAUUGCUUUGGGGCAUGUAAUUUAGGCUUUCCACUUCAAAAGCUAUUCUGAUUUCUUGGCCAAAAAUUUUACAUGGAUACUUUGAGGUUAAGAAUAAAGAUACAUGGCAUUUUGAGGCUGGCAGGCACCAUAAGAUCACGUGCUCUAAUCCAGGUGAAAUGUGAGUUCAGAGGGCUGCACAGAUUGCCUUAUGCUUCUGGAGUCUGCUGCAGAGCUUACCUAGUUUCCACGUGUCCUGCUUUCAGGUUCAGUGGUCUUUCUGGGGCACUAAGUUUAGUUGUCAGAAUAGCAUUUCUUCUAAAUGUAUUUAUUAUUAAUGCACUAUAGUAAGUCCCUGGGGUAGAAUAAGCCUCAUCAUUAUAGCUAGUAAGUCAGUCUGAAGCAAUCUGAUAUUCCUGUAAAACUGAAUAAAUUUUGUCAUAAAGUAUCCUUGGGCUCACUGCCUUCUCAGAUGGCAUCAUCUCAUUUGCCCUAUAUUAA
Molecule: long non-coding RNA, 1342 nt
Filed under: Capra hircus (goat)
Lineage: Eukaryota; Metazoa; Chordata; Mammalia; Artiodactyla; Bovidae
Description: lncRNA (ENSCHIG00010005120.1)
Source: RNAcentral